Molecule: ribosomal RNA, 429 nt
Filed under: uncultured bacterium
Lineage: Bacteria
Description: bacterial SSU rRNA
Rfam family: Bacterial small subunit ribosomal RNA
Source: RNAcentral
UGGGGAAUAUUGCACAAUGGGCGAAAGCCUGAUGCAGCGACGCCGCGUGAGGGAUGACGGCCUUCGGGUUGUAAACCUCUUUCAGCAGGGAAGAAGCGAAAGUGACGGUACCUGCAGAAGAAGCGCCGGCUAACUACGUGCCAGCAGCCGCGGUAAUACGUAGGGCGCAAGCGUUGUCCGGAAUUAUUGGGCGUAAAGAGCUCGUAGGCGGCUUGUCACGUCGGAUGUGAAAGCCCGGGGCUUAACCCCGGGUCUGCAUUCGAUACGGGCUAGCUAGAGUGUGGUAGGGGAGAUCGGAAUUCCUGGUGUAGCGGUGAAAUGCGCAGAUAUCAGGAGGAACACCGGUGGCGAAGGCGGAUCUCUGGGCCAUUACUGACGCUGAGGAGCGAAAGCGUGGGGAGCGAACAGGAUUAGAUACCCCCGUAGUCC